This 1086-nucleotide ribosomal RNA is filed under the name Apilactobacillus kunkeei. Its description in RNAcentral is "bacterial SSU rRNA". It matches the Rfam family "Bacterial small subunit ribosomal RNA", at positions 63 to 1114 of the family's 1533-position model. The record is from RNAcentral. Lineage: Bacteria; Bacillati; Bacillota; Bacilli; Lactobacillales; Lactobacillaceae.
CUCUCAAUUGUUUUAUGCUUGCAUAAAUGAUUUUUGGAUUCGGAGCGAGUGGCGAACUGGUGAGUAACACGUGGGUAACCUGCCCCGAAGCGGGGGAUAACAUUUGGAAACAAGUGCUAAUACCGCAUAAUUAGUUGGAACCGCAUGGUUCCAACUUGAAAGAUGGCUCUGCUAUCACUUUGGGAUGGACCCGCGCCGUAUUAGUUAGUUGGUGAGAUAAAAGCCCACCAAGACGAUGAUACGUAGCCGACCUGAGAGGGUAAUCGGCCACAUUGGGACUGAGACACGGCCCAGACUCCUACGGGAGGCAGCAGUAGGGAAUCUUCCACAAUGGACGAAAGUCUGAUGGAGCAACGCCGCGUGAGUGAUGAAGGUUUUCGGAUCGUAAAACUCUGUUGUUAAAGAAGAACAAGUGUUAGAGUAACUGUUAACACUUUGACGGUAUUUAACCAGAAAGCCACGGCUAACUACGUGCCAGCAGCCGCGGUAAUACGUAGGUGGCAAGCGUUGUCCGGAUUUAUUGGGCGUAAAGCGAGCGCAGGCGGUUUUGUAAGUCUGCUGUGAAAGCCCUCAGCUCAACUGAGGAAGUGCAGUGGAAACUACAAAACUUGAGUACAGAAGAGGAAAGUGGAACUCCAUGUGUAGCGGUGAAAUGCGUAGAUAUAUGGAAGAACACCAGUGGCGAAGGCGGCUUUCUGGUCUGUUACUGACGCUGAGGCUCGAAAGCAUGGGUAGCGAACAGGAUUAGAUACCCUGGUAGUCCAUGCCGUAAACGAUGAAUACUAGGUGUUGGAGGGUUUCCGCCCUUCAGUGCCGCAGCUAACGCAUUAAGUAUUCCGCCUGGGGAGUACGACCGCAAGGGUUGAAACUCAAAGGAAUUGACGGGGGCCCGCACAAGUGGUGGAGCAUGUGGUUUAAUUUCGAUGCUACGCGAAGAACCUUACCAGCUCUUGACAUCUUCUGCCAACCCAAGAGAUUGGGCGUUCCCUUCGGGGACAGAUGACAGGGUGGUGCAUGGGUUGUCGUCAGCUCGGGUCGUGAAAUGUUUGGGUUUAAGUCCCGCACGAGCGCACCCCUUAUUUAUUA